RNAcentral lists this ribosomal RNA (494 nucleotides) under uncultured bacterium. RNAcentral's name for it is "partial 16S ribosomal RNA". It matches the Rfam family "Bacterial small subunit ribosomal RNA", at positions 28 to 507 of the family's 1533-position model. The record is from RNAcentral.
GACGAACGCUGGCGGCGUGCUUAACACAUGCAAGUCGAACGGAAAGGCCUGCUUUCCCUUGUGGAUUGCGGGUACUCGAGUGGCGAACGGGUGAGUAACACGUGAGUGAUCUGCCCCCAACUUGGGUAUAAGCCUGGGAAACUGGGUCUAAUUCCCGAUAGGACUGCAGGGUGGUGCCUGUGGUGGAAAACGAUUUUCUAGUGGUUGGGGAUGAGCUCGCGGCCUAUCAGCUUGUUGGUGGGGUAAUGGCCUACCAAGGCGGCGACGGGUAGCCGGCCUGAGAGGGUGGACGGCCAAAUUGGGACUGAGAUACGGCCCAGACUCCUACGGGAGGCAGCAGUGGGGAAUAUUGCACAAUGGGCGGAAGCCUGAUGCAGCGACGCCGCGUGGGGGAUGACGGCCUUCGGGUUGUAAACUCCUUUCGACCGCGAGGAAGCCACCUGGUUGGAAGGGUGGUGACGGUAGUGGUAGAAGAAGCACCGGCUAACUACGUG